Molecule: ribosomal RNA, 518 nt
Filed under: uncultured bacterium
Lineage: Bacteria
Description: bacterial SSU rRNA
Rfam family: Bacterial small subunit ribosomal RNA
Source: RNAcentral
AGAGUUUGAUUCUGGCUCAGGAUGAACGCUAGCGACAGGCUUAACACAUGCAAGUCGAGGGGCAGCACGGGAGUAGCAAUACUUGGUGGCGACCGGCGCACGGGUGAGUAACGCGUAUGCAACCUACCUAUCAGGAGGGGAAUAACCCGGCGAAAGUCGGACUAAUACCGCAUAAAACAGGGGCACCGCAUGGUGAUAUUUGUUAAAGAAAUUCGCUGAUAGAUGGGCAUGCGUUCCAUUAGGUAGUUGGUGAGGUAACGGCUCACCAAGCCGACGAUGGAUAGGGGAACUGAGAGGUUGGUCCCCCACACUGGUACUGAGACACGGACCAGACUCCUACGGGAGGCAGCAGUGAGGAAUAUUGGUCAAUGGGCGGGAGCCUGAACCAGCCAAGUCGCGUGAAGGAAGAAGGAUCUAUGGUUCGUAAACUUCUUUUGCAGGGGAAUAAAGUGCAGGACGUGUCCUGUUUUGUAUGUACCCUGAGAAUAAGGAUCGGCUAACUCCGUGCCAGCCGCGGC